This 199-nucleotide ribosomal RNA is filed under the name uncultured bacterium. Its description in RNAcentral is "partial 16S ribosomal RNA". It matches the Rfam family "Bacterial small subunit ribosomal RNA", at positions 1302 to 1500 of the family's 1533-position model. The record is from RNAcentral.
AGGCUGAAAUUCGCCUUCAUGAAGCUGGAAUUGCUAGUAAUGGCAGGUCAGCAUACUGCCGUGAAUACGUUCCCGGGCCUUGUACACACCGCCCGUCACACCAUGAGAGUUGGAAAUACCCGAAGCCUGUGAGCUAACAGUAAUGAGGCAGCAGUCGAAGGUAGAGCCAAUGAUUGGGGUGAAGUCGUAACAAGGUAUC